This 454-nucleotide ribosomal RNA is filed under the name uncultured bacterium. RNAcentral describes it as "bacterial SSU rRNA". It matches the Rfam family "Bacterial small subunit ribosomal RNA", at positions 29 to 526 of the family's 1533-position model. The record is from RNAcentral.
AACGAACGCUGGCGGCAGGCUUAACACAUGCAAGUCGAACGGGCGCUUUCGGGCGUCAGUGGCAGACGGGUGAGUAACACGUGGGAACGUACCCUUUGGUUCGGAAUAACCCAGGGAAACUUGGGCUAAGACCGGAUAAGGCCGGGAGGCGAAAGGUUUACCGCCGAAGGAGCGGCCCGCGUCCGAUUAGCUUGUUGGUGAGGUAAUGGCUCACCAAGGCUUCGAUCGGUAGCUGGUCUGAGAGGAUGACCAGCCACAUUGGGACUGAGACACGGCCCAAACUCCUACGGGAGGCAGCAGUGGGGAAUAUUGGACAAUGGGCGCAAGCCUGAUCCAGCCAUGCCGCGUGAGUGAUGACGGCCUUAGGGUUGUAAAGCUCUUUUACCCGGGAAGAUAGUGACGGUACCGGGAGAAUAAGCCCCGGCUAACUUCGUGCCAGCCGCCGCCGUAACAC